Molecule: ribosomal RNA, 253 nt
Filed under: uncultured bacterium
Lineage: Bacteria
Description: partial 16S ribosomal RNA
Rfam family: Bacterial small subunit ribosomal RNA
Source: RNAcentral
UACGGAGGGUGCGAGCGUUGUCCGGAAUCAUUGGGCGUAAAGGGCGCGUAGGUGGCCCGGUCAGCGUGCGGUGAAAGCUCGGGGCUCAACCCCGAGUCGGCCGUGCGAACUGCUGGGCUAGAGCACUGUAGAGGCAGGCGGAAUUCCGGGUGUAGCGGUGGAAUGCGUAGAGAUCCGGAAGAACACCGGUGGCGAAGGCGGGUCUCUGGGCCGAUACUGACGCUGAGGAGCGAAAGCGUGGGGAGCGAACAGG